CCUACGGGAGGCAGCAGUAGGGAAUCUUCCACAAUGGGCGAAAGCCUGAUGGAGCAACGCCGCGUGGGUGAAGAAGGUCUUCGGAUCGUAAAACCCUGUUGUCAGAGAAGAAAGUGCGUGAGAGUAAUUGUUCAUGUUUCGACGGUACCUAACCAGAAAGCCACGGCUAACUACGUGCCAGCAGCCGCGGUAAUACGUAGGGGGCAAGCGUUAUCCGGAUUUAUUGGGCGUAAAGGGAACGCAGGCGGUCUUUUAAGUCUGAUGUGAAAGCCUACGGCUUAACCGGAGUAGUGCAUUGGAAACUGGGAAACUUGAGUGCGGAAGAGGAGAGUGGAACUCCAUGUGUAGCGGUGAAAUGCGUAGAUAUAUGGAAGAACACCAGUGGCGAAAGCGGCUCUCUGGUCUGUAACUGACGCUGAGGUUCGAAAGCGUGGGUAGCAAACAGGAUUAGAUACCCUAGUAGUC
RNAcentral lists this ribosomal RNA (465 nucleotides) under uncultured bacterium. Its description in RNAcentral is "partial 16S ribosomal RNA". It matches the Rfam family "Bacterial small subunit ribosomal RNA", at positions 338 to 795 of the family's 1533-position model. The record is from RNAcentral.